This 1278-nucleotide long non-coding RNA is filed under the name Equus caballus (horse). RNAcentral describes it as "lncRNA (ENSECAG00000057608.1)". The record is from RNAcentral. Lineage: Eukaryota; Metazoa; Chordata; Mammalia; Perissodactyla; Equidae.
AAUCAAUGGGAUGCCAGAGAUAAAGCCAGGUCUUUAAGGAAGAAUGGGAGCCUCAUUACUCUUCCACAGAGAGCUCUUCCACUGUCUGCAGGCAGAGAGGUCUGAGGCCUCAGGGGCUGGAGGAAACGUAGAGUGGAAGGAAUGUGGGUCCCUGAAUCACUGCCUUUGGGAAGAGCAUCCGCUGCAGCCAGGGGUGCUGGCACUGGACCCUUACAUAGCCCGGGCCCACUCCUCGGCGGCCAUCCCUUGUCUUCUCCUAUGAAGGACCCCAGCUCCAUGUGCAGCGGCCUCCUGGAGAGGAUUUGCCAAGAACUGGAGCUGGGAGGAGCGGUGAGGAGGCUGGAGUCCCGGGAAGCAGGGCCCAGGGCCCCACGUGGGAACCUGCCUCCCCAGCCAGGUGUCACAGCCUCGGCACUGCGGCCACUCAGCUCAAACUGACUCAGCCAAAGGGCCGUUUAGUUGAAUCUGGAAGGCCAACCAACAAUAAAAGCCACCAAACCAAAAACAUCCCCUGUGCCCCUGUCCCCCCCAGCCCCCAGUUGAAACAUCCCUCUGUGCCAUGGGUGAAGAAAAGUCAAGUCUUGAGCUGUCAGGAGCCGACUUAGCAGAGGCUUGACCUGGACUUGGUAGCCCGGGUUCCUGGCUCUCCCUUCGCCCUCCCCAGGCCUCCGAGGCAGUGAGGAGCGGGGGACAGACAGGCCCUGAUUCACAGAGACCUGGCUUCACAUCUGCCACUUCUCAGCUCUGCGACCUUAACAGGCAAGCGACUUAACUCUUGGAGUCUAGGAUUCCUCAUCCGCACGGUGGACACUGGUCUUAGGGGAAUGUCCAAGAUUCAGGAAGAAGCAGGUGUCAAGGUGCUCAGCAUGUCGCAGGUCCCCAGCCUGGGCUGGGUUCCCCUUUCCUCUCUCCUGGGUGUCUUCAUCUGUGAAAUGGGUCCAUUUGGCUGCGUGGGCCCCUCAGCUCCUCCGGCUCUGAUGCUCUGAUGUGGUGGAGUCCAGAGGGUUUGCUAGACCACUGCAGCCAGUAGGGCUCAGGCGCUGCCUUCACCCUCACGCAGAGAACUUACUCUCCUGCAUCCCUGCCCAUCAGAAUUCUCCUUUAGCGCAAAACAGCUGGGAGGGGCUCAGGGUCCUCUGCCCCAUGGGGUUUGGGAAUGCAUGGACAGGAGCAAGCGGGGGACAAGCAUUUCUUUGGGGGUUGAGUUUGGGCCCCGGACUCCCGAUUCUUAGCAUGAUGUUCUGGGCAGUGGCUCCUUGCACAUCACAGCCCCCUGUG